GACGAACGCUGGCGGCGUGCUUAACACAUGCAAGUCGAGCGGUAAGGCCCUUUCGGGGGUACACGAGCGGCGAACGGGUGAGUAACACGUGGGUGACCUGCCCUCAGCUCUGGGAUAAGCCUGGGAAACCGGGUCUAAUACUGGAUAUGACUCCAUGACGCAUGUUGUGGGGUGGAAAGCCUUGUGCGGCUGAGGAUGGGCCCGCGGCCUAUCAGCUUGUUGGUGGGGGUGANGGCCUACCAAGGCGACGACGGGUAGCCGGCCUGAGAGGGCGACCGGCCACACUGGGACUGAGACACGGCCCAGACUCCUACGGGAGGCAGCAGUGGGGAAUCUUGCGCAAUGGGCGAAAGCCUGACGCAGCGACGCCGCGUGAGGGAUGACGGCCUGGUGUAA
Molecule: ribosomal RNA, 396 nt
Filed under: uncultured bacterium
Lineage: Bacteria
Description: bacterial SSU rRNA
Rfam family: Bacterial small subunit ribosomal RNA
Source: RNAcentral